This is a long non-coding RNA of Numida meleagris (helmeted guineafowl), 6093 nucleotides long. RefSeq lists it as uncharacterized. The record is from RefSeq and is a predicted model, not a curated record. The transcript has 3 exons. NCBI's taxonomy places the organism in Eukaryota, Metazoa, Chordata, Aves, Galliformes, Numididae.
UUUCAAUGCAGUUCAGAUGCUGUGGGGCAGUAUCAAAGCAGGUCUGCUGAGUGAGUCCCACUGACUGUAGUAGAAAGGGAGCAGCCACAGGCACCCCAAGGAACAGAGAUCUAUCCAGACAUGCUCUCAAUACAUGACUUAGAUGCUCGGAAAGGGUGGCCUUGAGUUUAAAAGCUGUUCUUGUGGUUGAAGACUGCGAAGGGAAGAACUGAGGCUAUCCAGAAGUCCAGUCUUUCCUGUCCUACAGAAGUCACUCCUUCCUCUUGCUGUCACACGUGCAGCAGAGACAUCUCCUUCGUGGACAAGUCUGGGGACUGCAGUUUGGCUCUGAGAAGAAAACCAGGUGCACAGACUCUAUUUUGUGUACAACUAUUAAUUUCUCCUGGUUUUCAAAACCAUGUACAGGCUCAGAAGCUCAACAAUCUCUGGAGCACAUGAAGAAGCUGGGUUUCAUCAAUGUGUGUCUCAGGCUUCACAUGGGCUGAGAAGCUUAAUCUCUCAUCUUGUAAUGGAGUGUUUCUAGAGUUUUUACUUAGGAAAAAAAGCCCAGACCUCACCUUGCACCUGAGUACGUGGUAAGAAAAUGAGCAUGCGCAAAGCCAAAGGCAGAGUCUGGUUGAGCUUAAGACUUUAGAAUAAGCAAGAAGGGAGUAACAGCAGAAUAGGGGUAAUGAGCCACUAUCAGGCGUUAAUGGGCACAGGAAGGCUACAGUAACUCUGAAGAAGGCAGCUCAAGUGACUUUGCAGAUUUUCUUUAUGGGAAGCUUUUCCUUUGCAAAAGGACCAUGAUAAGAGAGGAAUGAGCUGUGCUGUGAGAGCACUAGCAGCUGGUGCUUAUUGGUCAGCUGCAAGGACCGGGGUGUGCUUUGAGGGAAGUGGGCAAUACAAGGUACAGAGCUUGUUUGUUGCAGCAGGAGAAGAAAGCAGUACACAAAACAUGAAGAUCGGGUGAAAGCGUAAUAGAAGCGAUAAGUCAGAAAAAUAUGUUUUACCGCAAUGUGCUAAAUGGUUUUGCAGGGAGAGCAAGGAGAUUUGUUGAAACCAGAAAGAGGAAGCUUCAGCUGUCAACAUGUAAAACAGUGAAGACCCGAACCACAGCUUUACCCGAGAAAAAGAGGCUGGAUUUUCAAGGCAGUUUGCAGGAAGAAUGAAUAGGAUUUGUGCAGAACAGGUUGCCUCUUCUCUUGCCAGCUGUAUUCGUUAAAGAGAAUGCUGCUUUUUGUGAUUCAGGUUACUUCUCUGACAAAACUAGUGAGCGUUUCCAUGCCUGUCAUUAUUUAGAAAUUUUUACAAUAAAGCUGGUCUGAUUACUUCAGUUUCCUCUGCUUUGGUUCCUCUAAUUGUUGAAAUUAGUUCCUCUGCUGGAACCUACAAGCUUUUGCAACUUUUGUUUCACUCAUUAUUCCCGUUAUAACCAUUAUGUCAGCAUAAAAGUCCUCUUGCUCAGUAUAUUUGUAUGGUUCUGUUUUAGGCCAUAUACACUGAAAGAUUUUUACUCAAGAACUUAAAGCAUAAGACUGCCUAAACUGUGUUUCUGAAUUGUUAUUCUUUUGUUUAUUUCACUACUAAAAGCAAAAACUCACACAGCUCUUUGGUUUUUUUAAUCAGUUUUGAUGCAGGAAUACUUUGAUGUCAGUGAGACCAAUAUGAGUAAAGUUAAGUCUUGAUAGUGCCAAGAUUACUUCAAGUAUCCUACAAACUGCCAUAAUUUGAAUCAAGACCUUCUUGUGAGCCAAAAUGAUACUUUCAGUAAGAAACAACUUUGGAAAAUGAAACAAAAAUAAAAAUCAGAAUUAGUUAUGUUCUUCCAGCUAAUAUCAAGGUUUGCUGAAAAAAAAUCUCUGGAACCUUGAAAAAUUACUUAAACUCUCUUCUACAGUUGUAGAGAAGAGAUAUUUCCAUUACAGUAGAUGCGACUGAAGAUUUUCCAAGUGUACUUUUUUUUUUGUGUUCUCUGUUUAGCAUAAGCUGUAGUUGUAUUGGAUUCAUCUUUAUAGUCUACAGUGUAAGAAAUGACCCUUCACCCCUCUGGUUUGAAAUCACAAGGGAGGUGAAGAGACACGCCACACGGGAGGCAGAUGGUCAAAUGGAGGAAACACAAUCACCAGAGUCAGUUGUCUCUCCUGAAGAACAUCAGUCAGGAAGGAGUGGACAACUGAGCUGCUUGGGGAAGGAAGGUAUGAUACCUUUGGCUUUUGUUUGGUUUAGCAGUUUGUUCCCAUUGCAAGACAAUAACAGGAUUCAACUUGGAACCAGAACAGAAAGGAACAUUUUGUAUUGCUAUUUAUUCUCAGACGGAAAGGAAAUUUUACAGUCUGUUUUGAUGUUUCCGGUGGGGGGAAAAAAAAAAAGGCUCUCGCUUUUUUGACACAGGCUGGAGAAAAUAAGGAUCUGGAGCCUAACUGUCUCGUUUUUGUGCAAAUGGGGCUGCCAGCUCAGCCAGAUGCAUAAACUUCAGGAGGGGUACAGAAAUGAAUUGUUCCAUAGUUAGCAGAAAGGGAGGUACAAAUCUGGAGAAACUAGCCCAAACCACCCCAGAUUGUCUGUGUGUUCUCUCCCCUGCAUGAGGUUUCCAUCCAGCUGUACUGCAUUCAGUAAACUUAAAUGGGGAUGCAUGCACAGUUUUUUUUUCCUCCUGAAUUUCAGUUUCUUCCUCCCACGCAGUUUCAUUCUUCCCUGCUGAUAUCCCACACACCCCACACCAUCCCUUUUGUUUUCUUCUUGGGAGGGUUCAGUCCUUUUCAACAGCGUCCCCAUCACCACCUUCUUCAGGCAAACGCAGCCCUCCAACUGAUGUGCUCCUUAGGAAAUAGCCUUCCAACAAACAAAAUAUUGAAACUGCAAAGGAGAGGUGAAGGUGCAUACAACAUUGAUAAUUGUCUGAAUUGUACACAGAUUUAUUGUGUGAUUUUGUUGGGAUCUUUUUGCUCAGCUUUCCCUUGGCAUUCUCUUUUGUAUGUCUACAUUUACUCAAUUUAGAUACAUCUGCCCCACACACUUGUGCAAGUGCAUGGACAUGAUGCAACACUGUUACUGAAGGAAACCCUUCCACUAAGGGUUAAACAAGCACACCACUAAUUCUGAGAAGAAGGCUGAAAGAGCAAGAGUCUCGGGGGUGUUCAGUUCUGCUGGCUGAAAUCUAUCGUAACACAAAACCUUCCUAGUGCUUUUCCUUAUAGAGGGAUAGAGCUUGGAAGAGCGGUGGGACAGUAUCAUUAGGCACAACACCAUAAACGUAAACUGAAUGAGUCACCACCAGGCAAUACAAGUUGCUGGCUUUGAAGUUUUCAAAUACAAUACAUAGAACUGGAUGCACUUAGGUGUUCCCUUAUCAUGGUGGCUGACUUAGUGAGGUAUCAACAAGAAGGAAAGCAGCAAUUUUCUGUCUCUUGAGUUUUGUUUUACUACAUGAAGAGAUUAUGUUUUACGACCCACGAAAGAGAAUAAAAUUAUUUCAUCCUACUUUAAAAUUUCCUUUUGUGGUAAUGCUUGAAAAAGCACUGAUAGCAGGCUGUGUACCGUAGUACUGCCAACAUUACUGACUGCUGAUUUGUUGAUUUCUGUUCUAUGAAAUGAGUAAAGCAGAGAUUAUCUGUGUACAAAACUCAACAGAGUAUGGCUUUGAUCGGUGAUCAGCUCUUGUUAUCAAAUUCAUUAAAAAUAAUGUGAAGUUUCAUGAGCAGCUUUUUUGUGGAAUUGUGUCCCCAUGAUGAGUUACUGUAUAUUUUCACUAGUAUCUAAAUAAGUCUGUCACUCAUGUUUCUUCCUCACUACCUACUUAUAAAACAUGCUGAAAGACAACAUGAGACCUUUCUUUCUCUCUCACGUUGAAUUGCAGCUGGACAGAGGUUCAGAAUGAUGAAGGUGAGAACAGAGAAGUGUCAGAAGAAUAACUUGAUUUUUAGCUUCAAAUCAGGCAGGCUAAAAUUGGGCUCCCUUAUUUUCAUUUAAGGAAAAACAAAAUUGGGAUGAUACCAUGGUGAGCAGUAUGCAGCACUAGUGCAAAACAGGCCGCAGAGCAAGAGUAAGUUUGUCUUACUAUUCUGUAACUUUAGCACUGUCCGGGAGUGUGGGAAUGUGUUGUUGUUUUUUUUUUUUUUUUGAGUGCUAUGAGCAGGACUGAUGGAAAUUUAAUUUUUAGUCCUAAGAUGCAGGCAGCUUUUCAGCUUCCCCACAUAGUGUAAUCCAUUCUCAAAAAUGCUUGUGUCUGCUAAGAGGGGACUAUGGGAAAGUGAACAUGCACUUAUAUAACUUACUGUUCUGUAAGUGCUAAUUCAGUUUGUUUUUCAUUUCCUUCACUAUAUUAAGUCAGACCCAUGGUCCUGGAAUUCUUAUACUUCAUAUAAAAUCCUAAAUUAUCUAUGGCCAAAUCCAUGGUCAGGAUACCCGCAAUCACAGUCCUUGUAAAAACUUGCUUCAGCUUAUACCAAGACACUGUCUUCAUACUGAGUUCCAUUGGAAGAAAAACCUAGGGAAACAAAAACUUACCGAUUUCACUGUCUCAGCUUUUUGUUUUUUCUUUUCCAGCUUUUAGAAAUAAUUUUAUCAGGAGAAAAUAAUUUCAGUAAACCUGGUAUUCAAAGUUGCCUAAGGUUUUGCUUUGCUUCAUGAGAACGUGCUUCAAGUUCUUCAUGCAGAGUUUGGGGGAAAAAUUCAUGCUGCCUGUUAGUCUGCAGUGCUGACUGAACAUGUGGCGGGGAGACAAGCCAGCAUUUUAUGGUGUCUUGCAGAUUAACUAGCAAUAAGAUAGACAAUAUAGGUAAGUUAUAGUAACCACGAACUGGUGGAGUUCUCUAUUCUCGGUGAAAUCAGGAAGGGGUCAGCAAAACUGCUACCUUGGACUUCCAGAGGGCAGACUUCAAACUGUUUAGAAUGUUAUUUGGGAGAAUUCCUUGGGAAUCAGUCCUGCAGGCCAGAAGGGUCCAGGAAGGCUGGACAUUGCUCAAGGAAAUUCCAAAGGUGCAGAAACAGACUGUCCCCUUGUGACAUAAGAUGAGCCAAUGAGGAAGAAGACCAGCCUGGCUGAACAGGGAACUUUUGCUGAGACUCUGGGAAAAAAAAAGUAUACCAUCUUGGGGAGAAAGGACAGGCAGCUUGCUAAGAGUACAAGGAUUUUGCUAGGAUAUGGGAAUAUCAACCAACAGAUGGGAAAAUUAGAGAGGUAAAAGCCCAGCAAGAAUUUAAUCUGGUCACCGUUGUUAAAGAUAAUAAAAAAAAAUGUUUUUACAAAUACAUUAACAGCAAGAGAAGGGCCAAGGAGAAUCUCCAUCCUUUAUCAGGUGUGGCCAGGAACAUCAUCACCUAGGACAAGGAAAAGGCCUGGGUUCUCAAUGCCUUCUUCACUUUUGUCUUUAAUAGUCAGACCAGUUAUCUUCAGGGUAGUCAGCCUGAGCCAGAAGACUCAGAAGAAUAGGGAGCAGAAUAAACCCCCCAAAAUUCAGGAGGAAACAGUUAGCAACCUGCUACUUCACCUGGAGUGUCACAAGUCCAUGGGUCCAGAUGGGGUCCACUCAAGGGUACUGAGGGAGCCUGGUGGAAGUGAUUGCCAAGUUGCUUUCCCUCAUUUAUAGGUGUUCUUUGUCAAUCAGGGAGGUCUCAGAUGACUGGAGACUUUCCAGUGUGACACCUAUCUUCAAGAAGAGCUGGAAGGGGAUCUGGGGAACUACAGGACUGUCAGCCUGACCUCAGUGCCAGGAAAGGUUAUAGAACAGAUCAUUGUCAGUGCGAUCAUACAGCAUGUGCAGGACAACCAAAGGAUCAGGCCCAGCCAGCAUGGGUUCGUGAAAGGUCGAUAGUCAGCAGGACCAGGGAGGUGGUCAUACCUUCUGUACUCAGAACUGGUGAGGCUGCGCAUCGAAUAUUGUGUUCAGUUUUGGGCCCCUCACUUCAAGAAAGACAUUGGUGUGCUGUAACAUGACCAAAGAGGGGCUGCAAAGUUGAUGAGGGGUCUGGAGCGCAAGUCUUAUGAAGAGUGGGUGAGGGACCUGGGAUUGUUCAGUUUGGAGAAGAGGAGGCUCAGGGGAGACCUUAUCUCUACAAAUACCUGAAAGGAGGUUGUGGUGAGAUGGGGAUUGGCCUCUUCUCCCAGGUAAC